UACUUGGAUUUCUGGUGCACAUUUUAUAAUUUCUUUAAUUAUAUAAGGAGGUUAGUAACAAUUUAAUUGAUCAAUAAUGGGCUGUAAAUUCCGCGUUCCUGUUUCAAACGCUUAUGACCCUUUGACUCCUUGUAUUACACAUGCAAUCACUCAUAAGUAUUCCUUAAAUUGCGGACCGUACAAAGGCUAUAAAACCGAAACCUUUAUCACCAUCUUUUCUUCACCACAAGCACAUCUCGACACCCUUUCUGUUUCGAUAAACACCACCACAACACCAUCACGUAAACGACAUACCCACACAUCUCGACCCCACAACACCUUUCACGAGAAAAAUACACGUCGCCGGAAACCUCAAUCAAUCGCCGGUGAUCGGAGAAGACGACCAUAGUUUUUGACAGGAACCACUCCACUCGAUUCGGAAGAUGAUCCUGAUGACUCGCAUAAACGAAAUCAAAAUACCUUUUCGAAUAACCCUCACACUUGUCGGAGCGAACAAGGUUUCUGCCGAAGCGAACCUAGCUCGCCGAAGAUCGGAGGCGACGUCGGAGACACGCCGGAGACCGUCGGGAGAACCGCGACCCGGGGUUCACGUCGGGAUAAUCACUUACGUUCGUUCUCUUGGAUUGUUCUCAAAUCUUUACUCGUGCAAUAUUACAAGAAAUCGCAACGCAACCAAUGUGAG
Molecule: long non-coding RNA, 682 nt
Organism: Helianthus annuus (common sunflower)
Lineage: Eukaryota; Viridiplantae; Streptophyta; Magnoliopsida; Asterales; Asteraceae
Exons: 3
Source: RefSeq, a predicted model, not a curated record